UGCAAGUCGAGCGGACAGAAGGGAGCUUGCUCCCGGAUGUUAGCGGCGGACGGGUGAGUAACACGUGGGUAACCUGCCUGUAAGACUGGGAUAACUCCGGGAAACCGGAGCUAAUACCGGAUAGUUCCUUGAACCGCAUGGUUCAAGGAUGAAAGACGGUUUNCGGCUGUCACUUACAGAUGGACCCGCGGCGCAUUAGCUAGUUGGUGAGGUAACGGCUCACCAAGGCGACGAUGCGUAGCCGACCUGAGAGGGUGAUCGGCCACACUGGGACUGAGACACGGCCCAGACUCCUACGGGAGGCAGCAGUAGGGAAUCUUCCGCAAUGGACGAAAGUCUGACGGAGCAACGCCGCGUGAGUGAUGAAGGUUUUCGGAUCGUAAAGCUCUGUUGUUAGGGAAGAACAAGUGCAAGAGUAACUGCUUGNCACCUUGACGGUACCUAACCAGAAAGCCACGGCUAACUACGUGCCAGCAGCCGCGGUAAUACGUAGGUGGCAAGCGUUGUCCGGAAUUAUUGGGCGUAAAGGGCUCGCAGGCGGUUUCUUAAGUCUGAUGUGAAAGCCCCCGGCUCAACCGGGGAGGGUCAUUGGAAACUGGGAAACUUGAGUGCAGAAGAGGAGAGUGGAAUUCCACGUGUAGCGGUGAAAUGCGUAGAGAUGUGGAGGAACACCAGUGGCSAAGGCGACUCUCUGGUCUGUAACUGACGCUGAGGAGCGAAAGCGUGGGGAGCGAACAGGAUUAGAUACCCUGGUAGUCCACGCCGUAAACGAUGAGUGCUAAGUGUUAGGGGGUUUCCGCCCCUUAGUGCUGCAGCUAACGCAUUAAGCACUCCGCCUGGGGAGUACGGUCGCAAGACUGAAACUCAAAGGAAUUGACGGGGGCCCGCACAAGCGGUGGAGCAUGUGGUUUAAUUCGAAGCAACGCGAAGAACCUUACCAGGUCUUGACAUCCUCUGACAACCCUAGAGAUAGGGCUUUCCCUUCGGGGACAGAGUGACAGGUGGUGCAUGGUUGUCGUCAGCUCGUGUCGUGAGAUGUUGGGUUAAGUCCCGCAACGAGCGCAACCCUUGAUCUUAGUUGCCAGCAUUCAGUUGGGCACUCUAAGGUGACUGCCGGUGACAAACCGGAGGAAGGUGGGGAUGACGUCAAAUCAUCAUGCCCCUUAUGACCUGGGCUACACACGUGCUACAAUGGACAGAACAAAGGGCUGCGAGACCGCAAGGUUUAGCCAAUCCCACAAAUCUGUUCUCAGUUCGGAUCGCAGUCUGCAACUCGACUGCGUGAAGCUGGAAUCGCUAGUAAUCGCGGAUCAGCAUGCCKCGGUGAAUACGUUCCCGGGCCUUGUACACACCGCCCGUCACACCACGAGAGUUUGCAACACCCGAAGUCGGUGAGGUAACCUUUAUGGAGCCAGCCGCCGAA
RNAcentral lists this ribosomal RNA (1423 nucleotides) under Bacillus pumilus. RNAcentral describes it as "bacterial SSU rRNA". It matches the Rfam family "Bacterial small subunit ribosomal RNA". Lineage: Bacteria; Bacillati; Bacillota; Bacilli; Caryophanales; Bacillaceae. The record is from RNAcentral.